RNAcentral lists this ribosomal RNA (253 nucleotides) under uncultured bacterium. RNAcentral describes it as "partial 16S ribosomal RNA". It matches the Rfam family "Bacterial small subunit ribosomal RNA", at positions 524 to 776 of the family's 1533-position model. The record is from RNAcentral.
UACGGGGGGGGCAAGCGUUGUUCGGAAUUACUGGGCGUAAAGGGCUCGUAGGCGGCCAACUAAGUCAGACGUGAAAUCCCCAGGCUUAACUUGGGAACUGCGUCUGAUACUGGGAGGCUUGAGUGCGGGAGAGGGAUGUGGAAUUCCAGGUGUAGCGGUGAAAUGCGUAGAUAUCUGGAGGAACACCGGUGGCGAAGGCGGCAUCCUGGACCGACACUGACGCUGAGGCGCGAAAGCCAGGGGAGCAAACGGG